Molecule: ribosomal RNA, 447 nt
Filed under: uncultured bacterium
Lineage: Bacteria
Description: partial 16S ribosomal RNA
Rfam family: Bacterial small subunit ribosomal RNA
Source: RNAcentral
AACGAACGCUGGCGGCAGGCUUAACACAUGCAAGUCGAGCGCGUAGCAAUACGAGCGGCAGACGGGUGAGUAACGCGUGGGAAUCUACCGAGCCCUAAGGAAUAGCUCCGGGAAACUGGAAUUAAUACCUUAUACGCCCUUUGGGGGAAAGAUUUAUCGGGGUUUGAUGAGCCCGCGUUGGAUUAGCUAGUUGGUGGGGUAAAGGCCUACCAAGGCGACGAUCCAUAGCUGGUCUGAGAGGAUGAUCAGCCACAUUGGGACUGAGACACGGCCCAAACUCCUACGGAAGGCAGCAGUGGGGAAUAUUGGACAAUGGGCGCAAGCCUGAUCCAGCCAUGCCGCGUGAGUGAUGAAGGCCCUAGGGUUGUAAAGCUCUUCCACCGGUGAAGAUAAUGACGGUAACCGGAGAAGAAGCCCCGGCUAACUUCGUGCCAGCAGCCGCAGUAA